UACGUAGGUGGCAAGCGUUGUCCGGAUUUACUGGGCGUAAAGGGCGCGUAGGCGGUGCACUAAGUCAGGCGUGAAAGCCCUGGGCUCAACCCGGGAAUUGCGCUUGAUACUGUUUGGCUUGAGACCGGAAGAGGUUAGUGGAACUGCGAGUGUAGAGGUGAAAUUCGUAGAUAUUCGCAAGAACACCAGUGGCGAAGGCGGCUAACUGGUCCGGUUCUGACGCUGAGGCGCGAAAGCGUGGGGGAGCAAACAGG
This 254-nucleotide ribosomal RNA is filed under the name uncultured bacterium. Its description in RNAcentral is "partial 16S ribosomal RNA". It matches the Rfam family "Bacterial small subunit ribosomal RNA", at positions 524 to 776 of the family's 1533-position model. The record is from RNAcentral.